AUUCCAGCUCCAAUAGCGUAUAUUAAUGUUGUUGCAGUUAAAAAGCUCGUAGUUGAAUUUCUGGUUAAAAUCUUAGCUGGCUUUGGUCGUUAAUGUUUUAAUCAUCCGUUAGAGAACUAUAACCGUCCUUAACUGGUCAUUAUAGAGAUCUAACAUUUUACUUUGAAAAAAUUAGAGUGUUCAAGGCAGGCAAUCGUCAUGAAUACUAUAGCAUGGAAUAAUGGAAUAGGACUUUGGUUCAUUUUAUUGGUUAUUGAACCUUAGUAAUGAUUAACAGGGACAGUUGGGGGCAUUAGUAUUUAAUUGUCAGAGGUGAAAUUCUUGGAUUUAUUAAAGACUAACUUAUGCGAAAGCAUUUGCCAAGGAUGUUUUCAUUA
This 377-nucleotide ribosomal RNA is filed under the name Prostomatea sp. RNAcentral's name for it is "partial small subunit ribosomal RNA". It matches the Rfam family "Eukaryotic small subunit ribosomal RNA", at positions 582 to 975 of the family's 1831-position model. The record is from RNAcentral. Lineage: Eukaryota; Ciliophora; Prostomatea.